UUUCCGGUGAUCCCGCCGGACUUACUGCUAUCGGGGGUGAGACUAAAACAUGCAAGUUGCGCGUCUGAGCUAUGGUGGGACGCAGCGUACGGCUCAGUAACACGUGGCUAACCUACCCUUUAGGACUGGAACAACCCCGGGAAACUGGGACUAAUUCCAGAUGAGUGAGGAGGCCUGGAAUGGUUCCUCACUAAAAGGGCGAUAGGACCAUGCUUCCUGUCGUUGCCUAAGGAUGGGGCCGCGGCCGAUCAGGUUGUUGGUGAGGUAAUGGCUCACCAAGCCUAUAACCGGUACGGGCCAUGAGAGUGGUAGCCCGGAGAUGGGCACUGAGACAAGGGCCCAGGCCCUACGGGGCGCAGCAGUUGCGAAAACUCCGCAAUGCGCGAAAGCGUGACGGGGUUACCCCGAGUGCUGUCCGCUGAGGAUAGCUUUUUUCUGGUGUAAUGAGUCAGACGAAUAAGGGGAGGGCAAGACUGGUGUCAGCCGCCGCGGUAAUACCAGCUCCCCGAGUGGUAGGGACGAUUAUUGGGCUUAAAGCGUCCGUAGCUGGCUUGACAAGUCUUUCGUUAAAUCCAGCGACCUAAUCGCUGGGCUGCGGGAGAUACUGCCAGGCUAGGGGGCGGAAGAGGUCGACGGUAUUCUCGGGGUAGGGGUGAAAUCCUAUAAUCCUGAGAAGACCACCAGUGGCGAAGGCGGUCGGCUAGAACGCGCUCGACGGUGAUGGACGAAAGCUGGGGUAGCAAACCGGAUUAGAUACCCGGGUAGUCCCAGCUGUAAACGAUGCGGGCUAGGUGUCGGAGUGGAUACGAGCCGCUUCGGUGCCGCAGGGAAACUGUUAAGCCCGCCGCCUGGGAAGUACGGUCGCAAGACUGAAACUUAAAGGAAUUGGCGGGGGAGCACAGCAACGGGUGGAGCGUGCGGUUUAAUUGGAUUCAACGCCGGG
Molecule: ribosomal RNA, 943 nt
Filed under: uncultured archaeon
Lineage: Archaea
Description: bacterial SSU rRNA
Rfam family: Archaeal small subunit ribosomal RNA
Source: RNAcentral